RNAcentral lists this long non-coding RNA (606 nucleotides) under Salvia miltiorrhiza (redroot sage). Its description in RNAcentral is "long non-coding RNA (SMIL_LNC006019)". Lineage: Eukaryota; Viridiplantae; Streptophyta; Magnoliopsida; Lamiales; Lamiaceae. The record is from RNAcentral.
CCUCAAUACAUUUAAUGCUACAAACCUCAAACUUCCACAUUCAUCGACCUCAAAUUCAAGAGAGUAUUGGUCAACGCUACCAAGAUGUAAACAUCAUACUGACUUUAACAUCGGCAACUACAUAGUCGCCGGAUUUUCCCAGCGCAACCGCCCGCCGCGGACCGGUGGUGGAGCCUCGUGGCAUGCCGUGGGAGAGUCAUCACAUCUUAAUUUAGUCAUAUUACAGCUGCUUAUGUACCUAGGUCCUAGAGAGCAUCAGAAUUUACAGCUUAGAGCACAGUAAUUAAACUAAAGCUAAGAUAACAGAAAAUGCUUUUAUUUCACGAGUUAUUUUUACACUAUAAUUAUUCAAUAUUUUACAUCAUUUUUGUCUGAUGAAAUAUUUUAGCAGCAACAAUGAAGUUAAUCAAGUAAGCCCUCCAGCAAAAGUGCUAACAAAUAAUAAAUGUCUUGCAAGUUCUUAUCCACAAAAUUCAGAUUUCUUAAUGAACAUACCAAUUGAAGAAGUUCAAAGUCGACCUUGAACAGCAUCUUUAUGGCAUCAUUGGCGGACAAUUGUUGGUCGGAUAUGGAACUGCAAAUCAUCUGCUCCAGAGAGAAAGCAGA